UACAGAGGGUGCGAGCGUUGUUCGGAAUUACUGGGCGUAAAGCGCGCGCAGGCGGCCUUUUAAGUCUGCUGGUGAAAUGCCGGGGCUCAACCCCGUGCCCGCCACAGAUACUGGGAGGCUGGAGACGAGUAGAGGCAAGCGGAAUUCCGGGUGUAGCGGUGGAAUGCGUAGAGAUCCGGAAGAACACCGGAGGCGAAGGCGGCUUGCUGGGCUGGGUCUGACGCUGAGGCGCGAAAGCGUGGGGAGCGAACAGG
This 254-nucleotide ribosomal RNA is filed under the name uncultured bacterium. RNAcentral's name for it is "partial 16S ribosomal RNA". It matches the Rfam family "Bacterial small subunit ribosomal RNA", at positions 524 to 776 of the family's 1533-position model. The record is from RNAcentral.